Molecule: ribosomal RNA, 600 nt
Filed under: Plumarella laxiramosa
Lineage: Eukaryota; Metazoa; Cnidaria; Anthozoa; Scleralcyonacea; Primnoidae
Description: LSU rRNA
Rfam family: Eukaryotic large subunit ribosomal RNA
Source: RNAcentral
UUUGAAAAGAGAGUUAAAAAGUACGCGAAACCGUUGGAAGGGAAGCGAAUAGAGCUGACAAUUCCGUACUUGGUUUCGAUCUUUCUAGACGAACCUUGGACGUUUGCGUUGCCUGAACGGCGCACUUCCGCUUGGCGAAAGUCAACGUCGGUUUGCGUGGUGUCAAAAAGCAGUAAGCACGGUAGGUCUCAAGGUUUGCGUGCAAUUCAUGCAGACCGGUAGCAGUACGUACCUGCAGGUUGAUGUCUUCGUCGUUGAGUCGGUUUAACGUCGCUGGAUGGACGGCAUUGCCUGUGCGUCUGCGUGCGGCCGCUCAGACGAUGGGGAAAACAGACACGACGUGCUGAGGACGUUGGCAAUUCCGUGACUCUAUCCGACCCGUCUUGAAACACGGACCAAGGAGUCUAACAUGUGCGCAAGUCUCAGAGUGAUUGAAACUCGCUGGGCAUAAUGAAAGUGAAUGCAGUCUUGGCUGCAGAGAUGAGAGGCGUGGCGGCAUCAUUGACCGACCUAUUCUACUCUUAGAAAGGUUUGAGUUAGAGCGCACCUGUUGGGACCCGAAAGAUGGUGAACUAUGCCUGAAUAGGGCGAAGCCAGCGG